This 524-nucleotide ribosomal RNA is filed under the name uncultured bacterium. RNAcentral describes it as "bacterial SSU rRNA". It matches the Rfam family "Bacterial small subunit ribosomal RNA", at positions 355 to 896 of the family's 1533-position model. The record is from RNAcentral.
UGGGGAAUCUUGGACAAUGGGGGAAACCCUGAUCCAGCCAUGCCGCGUGAUCGAUGAAGGCCUUAGGGUUGUAAAGAUCUUUCAGCUGGGAAGAUAAUGACUGUACCAGCAGAAGAAGCCCCGGCUAACUCCGUGCCAGCAGCCGCGGUAAUACGGAGGGGGCUAGCGUUGUUCGGAAUUACUGGGCGUAAAGCGCACGUAGGCGGAUCAGUCAGUCAGGGGUGAAAUCCCGGGGCUCAACCCCGGAACUGCCUUUGAUACUGCUGGUCUUGAGGUCGAGAGAGGUGAGUGGAAUUCCACGUGUAGCAGUGAAAUGCGUAGAGAUGUGGAGGAAUACCGAUGGCGAAGGCAGCCUCCUGGGAUAACACUGACGUUCAUGCUCGAAAGCGUGGGUAGCAAACAGGAUUAGAUACCCUGGUAGUCCACGCCCUAAACGAUGUCAAUUAGCUGUUGGGCAACUUGAUUGCUUAGUAGCGUAGCUAACGCGUGAAAUUGACCGCCUGGGGAGUACGGUCGCAAGAUUA